CCUCUGCCCGGAUCUCUCUGCUCAGUUGGUUGAGCAUGAGGCUCUGACUCUCAGGGUCGUGGGUUCAAGCCCCCUGCCUUGCAGGGGG
Podarcis lilfordi (Lilford's wall lizard) is the source of this 88-nucleotide non-coding RNA. The record is from the annotation of a GenBank genome assembly. NCBI's taxonomy places the organism in Eukaryota, Metazoa, Chordata, Lepidosauria, Squamata, Lacertidae.